This 525-nucleotide ribosomal RNA is filed under the name uncultured bacterium. Its description in RNAcentral is "bacterial SSU rRNA". It matches the Rfam family "Bacterial small subunit ribosomal RNA", at positions 1 to 525 of the family's 1533-position model. The record is from RNAcentral.
UAGAGUUUGAUCCUGGCUCAGAUUGAACGCUGGCGGCAUGCCUUACACAUGCAAGUCGAACGGCAGCACGGGAGCUUGCUCCUGGUGGCGAGUGGCGAACGGGUGAGUAAUGCAUCGGAACGUGCCCUGAAGUGGGGGAUAACGCAGCGAAAGUUGCGCUAAUACCGCAUAUUCUGUGAGCAGGAAAGCAGGGGAUCGCAAGACCUUGCGCUUUAGGAGCGGCCGAUGUCGGAUUAGCUAGUUGGUGGGGUAAAGGCUCACCAAGGCGACGAUCCGUAGCGGGUCUGAGAGGAUGAUCCGCCACACUGGGACUGAGACACGGCCCAGACUCCUACGGGAGGCAGCAGUGGGGAAUUUUGGACAAUGGGCGCAAGCCUGAUCCAGCCAUGCCGCGUGAGUGAAGAAGGCCUUCGGGUUGUAAAGCUCUUUCGGCGGGGAAGAAAUCGCAUUCUCUAAUACAGGAUGUGGAUGACGGUACCCGAAUAAGAAGCACCGGCUAACUACGUGCCAGCAGCCGCGGUAAUA